AGAGUUUGAUCAUGGCUCAGAGUGAACGCUGGCGGCGUGCCUAACACAUGCAAGUCGAGCGGUUCCUGGACAGCGUAUCGUUCAGGAAUAGCGGCAGACGGGUGAGUAAUACUUAGGUAAUCUACCCUCGAGUGGGAAAUAACCCGGCGAAAGUCGGGCUAAUGUCCCAUAAGACCACGGGAUCGCAUGAUUCUGAGGUCAAAGCUCCGCAAGGGGCGCUGGAGGAGGAUCCUGAGGCCUAUCAGGUAGUUGGUGGGGUAACGGCCCACCAAGCCAACGACGGGUAGCCGGCCUGAAAGGGUGACCGGCCACACUGGCACUGAGACACGGGCCAGACUCCUACGGGAGGCAGCAGUGGGGAAUUUUGGACAAUGGGGGCAACCCUGAUCCAGCGACGCCGCGUGGAGGACGAAGGUCUUCGGAUUGUAAACUCCUUUUGAAAGGGAAGAAUGUCCCGGUGAAGAGCCGGGAGUGACGGUACCUUUCGAAUAAGCCACGGCUAACUUCGUGCCAGCAGCCGCGGUAAUACGAAGGUGGCAAGCGUUACUCGGAAUUACUAGGCGUAAAGCGCAGGUAGGCGGUUCGGUAAGUCUUUUGUGAAAGCUCCCGGCUUAACUGGGAGAGGCCAAGGGAUACUAUUGGGCUCGAGUGUGGUAGAGGAUGCUGGAAUUCCCGGUGUAGCGGUGAAAUGCGUAGAGAUCGGGAGGAAUACCAAUGGCGAAAGCAGGCAUCUGGGCCAUUACUGACGCUGAGCUGCGAAAGCUAGGGGAGCAAACAGGAUUAGAUACCCUAGUAGUCC
RNAcentral lists this ribosomal RNA (799 nucleotides) under uncultured bacterium. RNAcentral describes it as "bacterial SSU rRNA". It matches the Rfam family "Bacterial small subunit ribosomal RNA", at positions 8 to 796 of the family's 1533-position model. The record is from RNAcentral.